CUGGGCGCAAAGGCGGGU
Molecule: unclassified non-coding RNA, 18 nt
Filed under: Chlamydomonas reinhardtii
Lineage: Eukaryota; Viridiplantae; Chlorophyta; Chlorophyceae; Chlamydomonadales; Chlamydomonadaceae
Description: small RNA Cre_1502
Source: RNAcentral